GUGUCAGCAGCCGCGGUAAGACGAACCGUCCAAACGUUGUUCGGAAUCACUGGGCUUAAAGGGCGCGUAGGCGGGUUCCCAAGUCGGUGGUGAAAUCUUUCGGCCCAACCGGAAAACAGCCGCCGAUACUGGGAGUCUCGAGGGAGGUAGGGGUCGAUGGAACUUCAGGUGGAGCGGUGAAAUGCGUAGAUAUCUGAAGGAACGCCGGUGGCGAAAGCGAUCGACUGGACCUUUUCUGACGCUGAGGCGCGAAAGCCAGGGGAGCAAACGGGAUUAGAUACCCCGGUAGUCC
This 292-nucleotide ribosomal RNA is filed under the name uncultured bacterium. RNAcentral's name for it is "partial 16S ribosomal RNA". It matches the Rfam family "Bacterial small subunit ribosomal RNA", at positions 505 to 796 of the family's 1533-position model. The record is from RNAcentral.